UGUACAUGGCUCCUUUACCUACACACUG
Molecule: non-coding RNA, 28 nt
Filed under: Mus musculus (house mouse)
Lineage: Eukaryota; Metazoa; Chordata; Mammalia; Rodentia; Muridae
Source: RNAcentral